GACGAACGCUGGCGGCGUGCUUAACACAUGCAAGUCGAACGCUGAAGCUCAGCUUUUGUUGGGUGGAUGAGUGGCGAACGGGUGAGUAACACGUGAGUAACCUGCCUCCUUCUUUGGGAUAACGCCCGGAAACGGGUGCUAAUACUGGAUAUUCACUGGUCUUCGCAUGGGGGUUGGUGGAAAGGGUUUUUCUGGUGGGGGAUGGGCUCGCGGCCUAUCAGCUUGUUGGUGGGGUGAUGGCCUACCAAGGCUUUGACGGGUAGCCGGCCUGAGAGGGUGACCGGUAACAUUGGGACUGAGAUACGGCCCAGACUCCUACGGGAGGCAGCAGUGGGGAAUAUUGUACAAUGGGCGCAAGCCUGAUGCAGCGACGCCGCGGGAGGGAUGGAGGCCGUCGGGUUGUGAACCUCUUUCGCUAAUGGUCAAGCCGCAACAAUGGUUGUGGUGAGGGUAGUGGGUAAAGAAGCGCCGGCUAACUACGUG
RNAcentral lists this ribosomal RNA (483 nucleotides) under uncultured bacterium. Its description in RNAcentral is "partial 16S ribosomal RNA". It matches the Rfam family "Bacterial small subunit ribosomal RNA", at positions 28 to 507 of the family's 1533-position model. The record is from RNAcentral.